GUGUCAGCAGCCGCGGUAAUACGAGUGCCCCAAGCGUUAUCCGGAAUUAUUGGGCGUAAAGGGUGUGUAGGUGGCGAUGUUAGUCUUCUGUCAAAUUCUUCGGCUUAACCGGGGGUCUGCAGGGGAAACGGCAUUGCUCGAGUGUGCAAGGGGUGAAUGGAACUCAUGGAGUAGGGGUGAAAUCCGUUGAUAUCAUGGGGAACACCAAAAGCGAAGGCAAUUCACUGGUGCAUUACUGACACUGAAACACGAAAGCGUGGGUAGCGAACGGGAUUAGAUACCCCUGUAGUCC
This 292-nucleotide ribosomal RNA is filed under the name uncultured bacterium. RNAcentral's name for it is "partial 16S ribosomal RNA". It matches the Rfam family "Bacterial small subunit ribosomal RNA", at positions 505 to 796 of the family's 1533-position model. The record is from RNAcentral.